This 1335-nucleotide ribosomal RNA is filed under the name human oral metagenome. Its description in RNAcentral is "bacterial LSU rRNA". It matches the Rfam family "Bacterial large subunit ribosomal RNA", at positions 1096 to 2302 of the family's 2925-position model. The record is from RNAcentral.
GGAGGUUGGCUUAGAAGCAGCCAUCCUUGAAAGAGUGCGUAAUAGCUCACUGGUUAAGUGGUGAUGCGCCGAUAAUGUAGUGGGGCUAAAGUACACCGCCGAAACCGCGGCAACACACGUGUGUGUGUUGGGUAGGGGAGCGUCGUGCAUGCUGGGAAGCUGUCAUGUAAAUGGUGGUGGAGUGUGUGCGAGUGAGAAUGCAGGCAUGAGUAGCGAAAAACAUGUGGAAAACGUGUUCGCCGGAUGACUAAGGGUUCCUGGGUGAAGCUAAUCUUCCCAGGGUGAGUCGGGACCUAAGGCGAGGCCGACAGGCGUAGUCGAUGGAUAACGGGUUGAUAGUCCCGUACCCGUGUAUACGCGACCAGUGGUGACUCGGUUGUACUAACCACCCACUACCGCGGGAUCAAUGCUUUUGGUGUUGGUUUGGUGUGUGGUGCGUGGGAUCUUGAUCGUUGGUAGCCAAGCGAUGGGGUGACACAGAUUGGUAGUCAAGGCCACUGAGUGGAUUGUGGUGUAAGCGUGUGGCCCGCAGGAUAGGUAAAUCCGUUCUGCAUAUAGGGUGAGGCGUGAUGCGUACCCAGGUUUGGGGAUGUUUGAUGUGCCUGUGCUGUCGAGAAAAGCCUCUAGCGAUGUGUGUGCACGGCCCGUACCGGAAACCGACACAGGUGGUCUGGUUGAGGAUACUAAGGCGUUCGGGUGAACUAUGGUUAAGGAACUCGGCAAAAUGCCCCCGUAACUUCGGGAGAAGGGGGGCCAUGUGCGGCAAUCACCCUGUGCGGUGUGCGUUGUGUGUGGCCGCAGAGAAGUGAGGGAAGCGACUGUUUAUUAAAAACACAGGUCCGUGCGAAGACGUUGCAAGUCGAGGUAUACGGACUGACGCCUGCCCGGUGCUGGAAGGUUAAGAGGACUCGUGAGCACAUCCUGGUGGUGUGUGAGGCGGGUAAUUGAAGCCCCAGUAAACGGCGGUGGUAACUAUAACCAUCCUAAGGUAGCGAAAUUCCUUGUCGGGUAAGUUCCGACCUGCACGAAUGGCGUAACGACUUCCCUGCUGUCUCAACCAUAGGCCCGGUGAAAUUGCAGUACGAGUAAAGAUGCUCGUUUCGCGCGGCAGGACGAAAAGACCCCGGGACCUUUACUAUAGCUUGGUAUUGGUGUGUGCUGCAGCUUGUGUAGGAUAGGUGGGAGACUGGGAAGCAUUCACGCUAGUGGGUGUGGAGUCGAUUGGUGAAAUACCACUCUGGUUGUUGUGUGCAUCUAACUGUGGGCCCUGAUCGGGUUUUGGGACAGUGCCUGGUGGGUAGUUUAACUGGGGCGGUUGCCUCCUAAAAGGUAACG